Molecule: ribosomal RNA, 491 nt
Filed under: uncultured bacterium
Lineage: Bacteria
Description: partial 16S ribosomal RNA
Rfam family: Bacterial small subunit ribosomal RNA
Source: RNAcentral
AUUGAACGCUGGCGGCAUGCUUUACACAUGCAAGUCGAACGGUAACAGGCCUUCGGGUGCUGACGAGUGGCGAACGGGUGAGUAAUGCAUCGGAACGUACCCAGUGGCGGGGGAUAACGCAUCGAAAGCUGUGCUAAUACCGCAUGUGAUCUGAGGAUGAAAGCGGGGGACCGCGCAGCAAUGUUUGGCCUCGCGCCUUUGGAGCGGCCGAUGUCGGAUUAGCUAGUUGGUGGGGUAAAGGCCUACCAAGGCGACGAUCCGUAGCUGGUCUGAGAGGACGACCAGCCACACUGGGACUGAGACACGGCCCAGACUCCUACGGGAGGCAGCAGUGGGGAAUUUUGGACAAUGGGCGCAAGCCUGAGCCAGCAAGGCGGCGUGCGGGAAGAAGGCCUUCGGGUUGUAAACCGCUUUUGGCAGGAACGAAACAGUGUCCGCUAAUACCGGGCGCUAAUGACGGUACCUGCAGAAUAAGCACCGGCUAACUACGU